Cannabis sativa is the source of this 4288-nucleotide long non-coding RNA. RefSeq lists it as uncharacterized. The transcript has 3 exons. The record is from RefSeq and is a predicted model, not a curated record. NCBI's taxonomy places the organism in Eukaryota, Viridiplantae, Streptophyta, Magnoliopsida, Rosales, Cannabaceae.
GUUUAAGAGAAAUCGAGUCAAGGGCAACUUUUUUAAUUCGCUUGUUUCUCAUCUCGCCUAGUCGCUUUUAACCUUCUCUCACCUCUACUCUAUCUAUCUCAGAUACUCACUUUUUCAUCACAGGGAAGCAGCCCACGCAAGAGAUUCAAGAGAAACCCGAAUAGUGCAAGAUCUUUCUGUCAAUUCUGUUCAAGCUAUAAAAGUUCAAUCACAAGCUUUGAGAAAGGUUAAAGAUUCCAAAAAAGCAUGCAUUAUUUAAUUUUGUCUAUUUAUCAUUUUUAUUUUCAUAUAUGCAGGGUAUAGGAAUAAAUUAGUAGUCUGGAGGUUUAAAUAUAAUAGUUUCUCAUAGUUUUUAUUUAUUUAUUUAUUUUUAUUUUAAUUUAUCUAAUUUAAUCCAGAAAUUAUAAUUGCAUAAUUUUAUUCAUGAUGAUUUCUGUUUUUUCCAUUCCCAGCAAAGGGCAACUUUUUUAAAUUCUCCCGUGGCCAAGUCUCGUUGUUAAAGGCCAUCUUUUGGUUGUGUGCCAUUGGUAUGUUUUUCAAGUUCUCAAUGAUAUGCCUUUUCUUCUGAUUAGGAUGUUCCUUGUCUUGAUUCAUGUUUGAUUUAUUUUAUUUGAAAGCUAGAAAGAAAAAGUUCUAUGUCUUCUAUUGUGCUUUUGUCAUACAACUUGAUUUUCUAUUAGACAAUUUUCCAGGGAAACCAUGUUCAAACUUUGUCCUUCAAAAUAGAGGCCUGUUGGUGUUUUAGUUAAUAGUUACUUUAUAUUUUUUAGUGUUCAUAGUAUUUAUUGGUAGAAUUUGAACAUCAGAUGUUUAUAACUGUGUAGAUACAUAUUUGGACUCAUUCUGCAUCUACAUCAUUCUAAGUUUGCUUUAUAUGGUUUUCUCUUUUAUCUUUAAGUCAUAUGAUAAUGUGCUGGUGUGUAUUAAAAGUUGAUUGUCUGUCUACUUGAAGCUUUGUUGCCUAUCUGUAUUGUAUUGUUUCUAAUGUCCAUAAACAUUUUGGUAUUGUAUCAUUACACACAUUUAAAAAAGUUGAAUUACAUCUUAUACAAUUCAAUUAUUUUCUUGUUAAAAUUUUGGACUCAUUGGCUUAGUAAAGAACUCACUAUCAGUGUUUUUGAUUUCUCUCUAUUUCCCUAGUGUAUUUGUGUAUAUAUGCUCUUCUGUUGAAAUCAUUUGAGAACAAAUUUCUAGUGUGAAUUGAUAAGAUAAAAGCAUGGAAUACAACAGGGGAUCUUGCUGAUGGUCAAUGCUUGUUUACGUAAUUGGUAUAACAAUACCCAGUUUGACCCGUACUGUUGUCUCUUGUUGUGUUUUUAGAGUAAUAACUACGUUCUCUUUGCUCUGUUCUUGUAUGAUACAAUAUCAUAAUCUGUUGUAUUAGAGUAAUGAGCCAAUAGUUUUAUGCUCUCAAGACUUGAACUAUUUUUUAAUAUGAAUUUAUUUCAGUUAAUAUGUAAAGCGUUGAGGCAAAAAUGUUUUAACUUAGCUGACAAGAACAGAAGACGAUUGAUGCAAUCAUCAAGGUAAUGGUAUAUGACGCUCGUAACCCCUUUUCUAUUAUUUUUUUAUUGCCAAGACAUAACCUCUUAGUGCAACUAUACGUAUUCGCAAACUUAACUGUUACUUUUAUUUAGCUGUUUAAUUCUAGUCUGGGGUAAAUUUGAACUUCAAAUUCAAGCUGUUUUCAUUAAGAAUAAAAACACAUCAUGUAUUAAUAAUGUCACACUGAUGAAGAUGAUUUUGAUAUAUCAUUUUUUUAGGUGUCAUUUUAUUGCGCAUGCUAACGUUUAUUUUUUUUAGAAAAAAAAUUACUUUUGUCGACACUUUUUUACGCUGGCUAAAGUCUAAAAUUUCAACGACUUUUUCUGGUGCUUUUUUUCCGUUGUCAAAAGUCUUGUACUAUUUUUUUGGUUCUUUCAACUUUACCGAUGCAAAAAAACGCCAACGACUGUUAUUACUGGCGAGCUUUUCUUAGUGAUUUUUUGCGCCAGCAAAAGUGUGCAAAUCAAGACUUUUGUUGACGCAAAAAAAGUUUCAGCAAAAGUCACUGCUUUGUUGUGGCAACGGUUAAAGAAAGGCUGAAGAUGACCAACAUGCUUUGUGGUGGUGCACGACUAUGAAGAAAUUUCAGAAAAAUAGUGGCUUCUUCAAUCUUAUGAAACAAGCGCACCACAAUGAUUGCGUUACUUUUCUGUUGAAUAUCUCUGGAUUUAUGGCCAAAGAGAAUUUUGAGAUGUUGGCAUUAUCUUAGCAAGCCUAAUAUUUAAAAAGAACUUAUUACAUGAAAGAUCUUGUUUGCGAUGAAUGAUGUGCUAGAGUGGAUUUCAAGGUUGGUUGCUUGGUGAAGAAAUUCUACAUGAGAACAAAAGAAAUCAGGUUUGUUGAAGAAGAUCAUUGGCCUCCCCCAACAAAUAAUAUGACUUUAAUCAAUGUAGAUUAUUGGGAAGUAAAAUGCGUGCAGAAAUGAUGCAGCGGCUAGAGAUAGAACAGUGGAGGAGAUCAUUCAUGAUUCCAUUUUUCGCUCUUCUCUUAGCUUCCAUUUAACCCCAAGAACAACCAACUCUUCAGUUCAUUUCUUUUCUCACUAAAAAUGCUUCUAAAGUAUAACAUUAACUUGUUGAAAGAGGAUUUCCGUCAAUCAGAGCUGUGCAUGAGAAAAUGGGGGCCAAGAUGAGUGUUUCCCUGAUCCAGAUUGGGCAGGCUACAAGGUAGAUAGACGAUCCACUUCAAGAUAUUGUGCAUUUGUACAUAAAAUUAUAGGUCCUCUUUAAAAAGAGUAGUCAAAAAAAUUGUUAAGGGAAUUAGAGGACCAAAAAAAAAUAUGAUAUGAAAAAAUGACAACCUAUUUUUAUAAUGUUUUUCUUAAGAAAAAUAAAUUCAAAAAUAAUUAGUGUUUUAACCAACUAAUAUUAUAAGUAUAUUUAUAUUCUUUAUAGAUCACUUGUGAUCUCUAGUGUAAUUGUGAGGUGAUCAAUAUUUCACUUGGAAAGUUAGUGGUUUGAAUACUAUUGGUUAAGUUUUGCUAAUUAAUUUUGAUUUAUGUUGAUAAAAGUUUAAAAGAAAACGAUUGAUGAUGGACAAGAUACGUUUGCCACUGUGUUUUUAUCAUCUAAUGAAAUUGUUAUACUAAAUAUUAAUUAUAUUGAGUAAUGUAUAAUUAAAGAAAUGGCUAAUUAAGAUUUUUACCCCUGAACUUUGAUAUGUACCAAAUUAUGCCUCUUGAAUUUUUAAGGUCGUUAAAAAUACCCGUUGAACUAUUGAGAUUGUUGAAUUUAAGGACUUUUGUCUAAUUUCAUUCAAUUUUACUAUUUUAGUGAUUGCUUAUGUACUAAAUUAUGCUCCCCAGACUUUGAUAUCUAUCAAAUUAUGCCGUUCGAACUUUGACAUAUACUAAAUCAUGCCUGUGAACUUUCAUCCAUGUUAGAAUUUUUAACUAAAAUUAGACAAAAGUCCUUUAAUUCAACAAUCUCAAUAGUUCAGGGGACAUUUUUAACGACCUUAAAAGUUUAGGGGGCAUGAUUUGGUAUAUGUUAAAGUUCAGGGGGCAAAAAUCCUAAUUAGCCUAAAGAAAUUGAUUUUCUAUUUGGGAUCCUGAUAUGGUCUUAUUUUUACUAUUUUGAAAAUUAUAAGGUCUAGUUUGUCAUUUAAUAAAAUAAAAAGUUCAAUUAGUAACUUUUACAAAAUACUGGAUCUAAAAUAUUAUUUAAUCUUUUUGUAAUCUUGUUGACAUUGGGACAAAAGUAUAAUUGAGUGGGUAGAAUUUUGUUUUGUUUUGUCUAUAGAAAUAUUUGCUUCUCUUAUCCUGUCGCAAAAAACAUAAAAAAAAUAUUCAAAACAUUAAACAAAAAUAAACUCUCUAACAAAUUAAUACCAAACAAUUUGAAGAAUGAGAGUCAAAGUGGAAUAUUUGACUUUAAAUUAAAAACUUUAGGGAAAAAGUCAAACAGAAAACAAAUGUUUCAUAGAAAGAAAAGAGUCUAAUAUCUCCUCCAAAUAUAAAGAAGCUUGUAUAUGUAUUGUGUUCAAUGAAUCAUUUUAGAAAUAUGAAUUUGAAAAUGUGAGAGUUGGAGUGAACGGGUCUAAUCAGAGUACAAGUCUUGAUAAACUCCUUUGUUAGAAGGCAAACGUUGCAGGCAUUUUAAGAAAUAUUCAUGAACGUUGGAAAUUAGAAAGUAGAUUUCUUUUCUAAUUUGAAAGAAUCAUGAAUGGGUAUUGUUAGAAAAAUUUAAAUUUUUAUGUAUAUUUUUCUAUCUAAGAACAAUUAUUAUUUUUAUAUUAUAUGGGU